RNAcentral lists this ribosomal RNA (418 nucleotides) under uncultured bacterium. Its description in RNAcentral is "bacterial SSU rRNA". It matches the Rfam family "Bacterial small subunit ribosomal RNA", at positions 357 to 773 of the family's 1533-position model. The record is from RNAcentral.
GGGAAUAUUGCACAAUGGGCGCAAGCCUGAUGCAGCGACGCCGCGUGGGGGAUGACGGCCUUCGGGUUGUAAACCUCUUUCACCAUCGGCAAAGCCGGGAGCUUUUGUUUCUGGUGACGGUAGGUGGAGAAGAAGCACCGGCCAACUACGUGCCAGCAGCCGCGGUAAUACGUAGGGUGCGAGCGUUGUCCGGAAUUACUGGGCGUAAAGAGCUCGUAGGUGGUUUGUCGCGUUGGCCGUGAAAUCCCCUGGCUUAACUGGGGGCGUGCGGGCGAUGCGGGCAGACUAGAGGACUGCAGGGGAGACUGGAAUUCCUGGUGUAGCGGUGGAAUGCGCAGAUAUCAGGAGGAACACCGGUGGCGAAGGCGGGUCUCUGGGCAGUAACUGACGCUGAGGAGCGAAAGCGUGGGGAGCGAAC